This 515-nucleotide ribosomal RNA is filed under the name uncultured bacterium. Its description in RNAcentral is "bacterial SSU rRNA". It matches the Rfam family "Bacterial small subunit ribosomal RNA", at positions 355 to 887 of the family's 1533-position model. The record is from RNAcentral.
UGGGGAAUAUUGGACAAUGGGCGCAAGCCUGAUCCAGCAAUGCCGCGUGGGUGAAGAAGGUCUUCGGAUUGUAAAGCCCUUUCGACGGGGACGAUGAUGACGGUACCCGUAGAAGAAGCCCCGGCUAACUUCGUGCCAGCAGCCGCGGUAAUACGAAGGGGGCUAGCGUUGCUCGGAAUGACUGGGCGUAAAGGGCGCGUAGGCGGAUUAUACAGUCAGAUGUGAAAUUCCUGGGCUCAACCUGGGGGCUGCAUUUGAUACGUGUGAUCUAGAGUCCGGAAGAGGGUGGUGGAAUUCCCAGUGUAGAGGUGAAAUUCGUAGAUAUUGGGAAGAACACCGGUGGCGAAGGCGGCCACCUGGUCCGGUACUGACGCUGAGGCGCGAAAGCGUGGGGAGCAAACAGGAUUAGAUACCCUGGUAGUCCACGCCGUAAACGAUGUGCGCUGGAUGUUGGGUGGCCUAGCCAUUCAGUGUCGUAGCUAACGCGAUAAGCGCACCGCCUGGGGAGUACGGCC